This 472-nucleotide ribosomal RNA is filed under the name uncultured bacterium. RNAcentral's name for it is "bacterial SSU rRNA". It matches the Rfam family "Bacterial small subunit ribosomal RNA", at positions 328 to 793 of the family's 1533-position model. The record is from RNAcentral.
GCAGAGGACUCCUACGGGGGCAGCAGUGGGGAAUAUUGCACAAUGGGCGCAAGCCUGAUGCAGCCAUGCCGUCGUGUAUGAAGAAGGCCUUCGGGUUGUAAAGUACUUUCAGCAGUGAGGAAGGUGGGUAUGUUAAUAGCAUAUUCAUUUGACGUUAGCUGCAGAAGAAGCACCGGCUAACUCCGUGCCAGCAGCCGCGGUAAUACGGAGGGUGCGAGCGUUAAUCGGAAUUACUGGGCGUAAAGCGCAUGCAGGUGGUUUGUUAAGUCAGAUGUGAAAGCCCGGGGCUCAACCUCGGAAUUGCAUUUGAAACUGGCAAACUAGAGUACUGUAGAGGGGGUAGAAUUUCAGGUGUAGCGGUGAAAUGCGUAGAGAUCUGAAGGAAUACCGGUGGCGAAGGCGGCCCCCUGGACAGAUACUGACACUCAGAUGCGAAAGCGUGGGGAGCAAACAGGAUUAGAUACCCUGGUAG